This 383-nucleotide ribosomal RNA is filed under the name uncultured bacterium. Its description in RNAcentral is "bacterial SSU rRNA". It matches the Rfam family "Bacterial small subunit ribosomal RNA", at positions 540 to 916 of the family's 1533-position model. The record is from RNAcentral.
GUUAUCGGGAUUACUGGGGCGUAAAGCGUACCGCUAGGCGGUCUGUCAAGUCUGAUGUGAAAUCGUGCGGCUCAACUGCAUAACUGCAAUGGAAACUGCUUGGCUUGAGUGUGGUAGGGGUAGAUGGAAUUCCCGGUGUAGCGGUGAAAUGCGUAGAGAUCUGGAGGAAUACCGGUGGCGAAGGCGCUCUCCUGGACCACGACUGACGCUGAUGUGCGAAAGCGUGGGGAGCAAACGGGAUUAGAUACCCUGGUAGUCCUCGCUGUAAACGAUGUCCACUUGGAGGUGGCUGCCUUGACGAGUGCCUUGCCGAACUCAACCCUUUAAUCGACCCCCCGGGGAAUUCCGCCCGCCAGGAUUUGAACUUCAAAGGAAUUUGACGG